CCUAGGACCCACUGGCAGGUCCGAUCCCAUGGGCCUCUCAGUGUCCCAUGCCAAAGCAAGCUGUUACCCCCGAACUAUUGUCUGGCUUUACCCAGUGGGCUUAAGGCACUGAAGUGGGUUGCACAGUG
RNAcentral lists this small nucleolar RNA (128 nucleotides) under Echinops telfairi (small Madagascar hedgehog). RNAcentral describes it as "Small nucleolar RNA SNORA42/SNORA80 family (ENSETEG00000023859.1)". It matches the Rfam family "Small nucleolar RNA SNORA42/SNORA80 family". From Rfam's summary of the family: The members of this family belong to the H/ACA class of snoRNAs that guide the sites of modification of uridines to pseudouridines. Lineage: Eukaryota; Metazoa; Chordata; Mammalia; Afrosoricida; Tenrecidae. The record is from RNAcentral.